UACAGAGGUCUCAAGCGUUGUUCGGAUUCAUUGGGCGUAAAGGGUGCGCAGGCGGUUAGGUCAGUCAGAUGUGAAAUUCUGGAGCUCAACUUCAGAACUGCAUUUGAUACUGCUUGACUAGAGUCCUAUAGAGGAGACUGGAAUUUACGGUGUAGCAGUGAAAUGCGUAGAUAUCGUAAGGAAGACCGGUGGCGAAAGCGAGUCUCUGGAUAGCGACUGACGCU
This 224-nucleotide ribosomal RNA is filed under the name uncultured bacterium. RNAcentral describes it as "partial 16S ribosomal RNA". It matches the Rfam family "Bacterial small subunit ribosomal RNA", at positions 524 to 747 of the family's 1533-position model. The record is from RNAcentral.